Molecule: ribosomal RNA, 587 nt
Filed under: uncultured bacterium
Lineage: Bacteria
Description: bacterial SSU rRNA
Rfam family: Bacterial small subunit ribosomal RNA
Source: RNAcentral
CCUACGGGAGGCAGCAGUAGGGAAUCUUCCACAAUGGACGAAAGUCUGAUGGAGCAACGCCGCGUGAGCGAUGAAGGCCUUCGGGUCGUAAAGCUCUGUUGUUAGGGAAGAACAAGUACCGGAGUAACUGCCGGUACCUUGACGGUACCUAACCAGAAAGCCACGGCUAACUACGUGCCAGCAGCCGCGGUAAUACGUAGGUGGCAAGCGUUGUCCGGAAUUAUUGGGCGUAAAGCGCGCGCAGGCGGUCCUUUAAGUCUGAUGUGAAAGCCCACGGCUCAACCGUGGAGGGUCAUUGGAAACUGGGGGACUUGAGUGCAGAAGAGGAAAGCGGAAUUCCACGUGUAGCGGUGAAAUGCGUAGAGAUGUGGAGGAACACCAGUGGCGAAGGCGGCUUUCUGGUCUGUAACUGACGCUGAGGCGCGAAAGCGUGGGGAGCAAACAGGAUUAGAUACCCUGGUAGUCCACGCCGUAAACGAUGAGUGCUAAGUGUUAGGGGGUUUCCGCCCCUUAGUGCUGCAGCUAACGCAUUAAGCACUCCGCCUGGGGAGUACGGCCGCAAGGCUGAAACUUAAAGGAAUUGACGG